GAUGAACGCUGGCGGCGUGCCUAAUACAUGCAAGUCGAGCGAACACACGAGGUGUUUUCGCCUCCGAGGGUAGCGGCGGUCGGGUGAGUAACAUGUGUUCAACCUACCUCUACGACAGGGAUACCUUCGGGAGACAGGAGCUACUACCGGAUAAUAUAUCGAACUGGAUUGGUCAAGAGUGGAAGUAGGUUUUGCGGACACUAAUAGAUGACUACGCGCAGCAUUACCUAGUUGGUAGGGUAACGGCUUACCAAGGCAACGACGCGUAGCCGACCUGAGAGGGUGAACGCCCACACGGGAACUGAGACACGGUCCAGACUCUGAGGCGAGGAAGCAGCACGGAAUCUUACGCAAUGGGCGAAUGCCUGACGGAGCAACGCCGCGUGAGUGAUGAGGCGCUUCGGAUGCUAAAACGCUGUUAUUAGUAGAGAACAAAUGUUUAAGUAACUAUGCACGUCUUGACGGUACCUGAUCAGAAAGCCCCGGCUAACUACGUG
This 497-nucleotide ribosomal RNA is filed under the name uncultured bacterium. RNAcentral's name for it is "partial 16S ribosomal RNA". It matches the Rfam family "Bacterial small subunit ribosomal RNA", at positions 28 to 507 of the family's 1533-position model. The record is from RNAcentral.